This 682-nucleotide long non-coding RNA is filed under the name Mytilus galloprovincialis (Mediterranean mussel). Lineage: Eukaryota; Metazoa; Mollusca; Bivalvia; Mytilida; Mytilidae. The record is from RNAcentral.
CUAAUGAAGUUUAACUGAAGGUGAGGAUGCCGCCCUUUCCCUGAUACUGGUAGACAAUGGUGUUCUCCUGGAAAUACUGUGAUUUUUCACAGCGGAGUAGAACAUAAGCAUUGCUUCUGCCAGUCAUCAUAGAAGUGGACUAAGUCCUUUUGGGUUGUAUAUUGCCUAGAAGGAUGUCUAAGGAAAGGUUAUAUUUAAUGGUAAGUAAGAACGAGAGAGUGAGUGAAUGAGCAAGAGAGAGUGAGUGAAUGAGCAAGAGAGAGUGAGUGAAUGAGCUGGAGAGAGUGAUUGAAUGAGCUGGAGAGAGUGAGAUGAAUGACUUGGAGAGAGUAAAUGAAUGAGCUGGAGAGAGUGAGUGAAAGAGGUAGAGAUGGAGAGAGUGAGUUAAUAAGAGUGAGUGAAUGAGCUGGAGUGAGUGAGCUGGAGAGAGAGAGAGUGAAUGAGAUUGAGACAGUGAUUGAGUGAGUGAAUGACAUUGAGAGAGAGAGUGAAUGAGGUUGAGAUUGAGAGAGUGAGUGAGUGAAUGAGAUUGAGAGAGAGAGUGAAUGAGAUUGAGAUUGAGAGAGUGAGUGAAUGAGAUUGAGAGAGAGAGUGAGAUUGAGAGAGUGAGUGAAUGAGAUUGAGAGAGUGAGUGAAUGAGAUUGAGAGAGCGAGUGAAUGAGAUUGAGAGAGUGAGUGAAUG